UCACAGCAAGAACUAUUAGCUCCAUCUUCGAAUAUAUUUGAAUUUUGAAAUACGGUUUUAAAAUUCACACAAUCGCCGCAUUCAUUCUUCUCUCUAACAAAAUUCAUAUCCUCUUCUACCUAAAAACCCUACUCAGAUCUAGCAAUGGGUUCUACUCCUACCCAAAACCAUAACAUCAUCUCCUCUAUUAGAUACCAGAUCUAGCGAUGGGGUUUCUUUCCUACCCAAAACCCUAACAUCAUCUCCUCUAUCAGAUGAACGAUUGCGUUCCAGAAAAUCACUAAUGUUCCAGAUGCUUGAGUCACUUCGCAUCAUGAGAGGAUCAGGAUACACUAAACGUGUAUAGUUUGUAUUGAUCUAUAUUUCGUGUGUCAGGUGAUUUGUGUUUACAGGUUAAUUUGCCAUCUGGUACAACUAUACUGAUUGUUAAAAUGAGACGAUACAAAGGGAAAAGUGAAGACAUCAAAAUAGUGGAAAAAGAGGACCUUGAUCUUAAAAGUCAGUAUAUAAUGAUUCUUUUUAUAAUUCAUUCUAUGACAUGAUUUUGUUCAUAAGUUUGCAGGAAGAGCAAAUUCAAGAUUUUAUAGAUUGCUCAUUGCAAAAAUAUUUCUCCUACUUAUGAACUUGUUUGUUAGCCACAACUUUAACCUACCGAAGGAGGUUCUGAUUCAACGGAGACAUAUUAACUUCACUAAUAAAUCAUUUAUUAAUCUCACAAAAGAAUUAUUUGUGAUUCUUACUUUUGUUGGACCUUAGACUACACGGUAUUGGGGCUUAGAACUGGCAUGUAAGCCCCUCCACACCUGGAACAUCGCCCCGUGGAGUGGUAGUGGGGGUAGG
This 840-nucleotide long non-coding RNA is filed under the name Helianthus annuus (common sunflower). Its description in RNAcentral is "sRNA HanXRQr2_Chr13g0619091". Lineage: Eukaryota; Viridiplantae; Streptophyta; Magnoliopsida; Asterales; Asteraceae. The record is from RNAcentral.